CAGCCGCCACGGGAAAACGUAGGUGGCAAGCGUUGUCCGGAAUUAUUGGGCGUAAAGCGCGCGCAGGCGGCCUAUCCAGUCUGUCUUAAAAGUUCGGGGCUCAACCCCGUGAUGGGAUGGAAACUAGUAGGCUAGAGUAUCGGAGAGGAAAGCGGAAUUCCUAGUGUAGCGGUGAAAUGCGUAGAUAUUAGGAAGAACACCAGUGGCGAAGGCGACUUUCUGGACGAAAACUGACGCUGAGGCGCAAAAGCCAGGGAAGCGAACGGGAUUAGAGACCCCUGUAGUCCCUGUCUCUUAUACA
Molecule: ribosomal RNA, 301 nt
Filed under: uncultured bacterium
Lineage: Bacteria
Description: partial 16S ribosomal RNA
Rfam family: Bacterial small subunit ribosomal RNA
Source: RNAcentral